AUUCGCUGAUGAUGUAGUGGUAAUCAUGACCGAACUCAAAUCGGUGUCGAGGGUUCGAAUCCCUGGCGAAUA
Molecule: non-coding RNA, 72 nt
Organism: Pluteus cervinus
Lineage: Eukaryota; Fungi; Basidiomycota; Agaricomycetes; Agaricales; Pluteaceae
Source: the annotation of a GenBank genome assembly